GGAUCAUAUCAGAAAGAUAUGUUUGAUGAAAUUAACUACAGAAUCAAGAAGUAUAUACUCAAAAUGCAAAUAUUACAAUAUAUGACAGCGCUGGAGUGCAAUGGCGCGAUCUUGGCUCACUGCAACCUCCGCCUCCUGGGUUCAAAUGAUUCUCCUGCCUCAGCCUCCCAAGUAGCUGGGACUACAGACCACAACCAAUUGCUCUUCCUUCCCGUUGAAAGAAACCCAGGCUGUACCUGCUCUUUCAUCUCCUGUGUGGAAAACAUCUAUCAGCUGGAAGCCCUGAGUCUUCAUGUUCAAGGAUUUUAGUUGUAAGCUGUUCAAGGCAUAAGCUAAAGUUUCAGGCAGAGGUAGUUUUAGUAGUUAAGCCUGAUUUUUACUUCCACCCUCUGUCCUCCAGGGCUAUAUGGGAAGCUUUCUGUGAGUGGAUAAGCUCUUUAGCUAAGAUGUAAACAUGUUCCCUGGUAUCUGAUAAAGGUUCCUGGAGACUGACACAUUUUUUUUUUUUUUUAAAAAGAAAGUAAGUGAGGAAAAAAAGAAAAGGAGAAACUGAAUCCAAGGCUUACAAAGGGAUUAGAAAACUGUACCCCAGAUGGAAAAUUUUAUGGGCUCUGGAGAAAAUGUAUAAAUGAAAUAUCGGUAUCAUAAAAUAACAGGAAAUAGUGUAAUCUACCUGAUGGAGAAAAUUGUCACUUUAAAAAAAGUAUCCUAAUUUCCUUCAAAAUUGUUCUUGUUUUUGAGCCAAUAAACUGCAGCUAAGCUCA
This 764-nucleotide long non-coding RNA is filed under the name Pongo abelii (Sumatran orangutan). RNAcentral describes it as "lincRNA". The record is from RNAcentral. Lineage: Eukaryota; Metazoa; Chordata; Mammalia; Primates; Hominidae.